CCGGUGGGCGCCGGGAAACAAUUCUAACCACACCGGCAAUAAUCUCGCGCCAAAAAAACAUAUUCACAUACGCGACGAGAUUAAAUGAAUUUUUUUUCAAUAUACAAAUUUUUGACAAAAAAUAAAUAAAUAAAUACUAAAUUAUUUAUAAAUAAAAUUUAAAUUUAGUUGUAAUUUUAUUUUAAAAGUUUUUAUCGCAAAUUUUAAUUGAAUUUAAAAUUUUUAUACUUGUGAAAUUAUUAUUCAAAUUUUUAUGUAAUUAUAACACGCGUGUUUCAAGACUGAUAAUAAAUACCUGGUGAUAUUUUAUAUUAUUAUUUUAUUUAUUAUUUUAAUUUAAAAAGUGACAGUUUUUUUUAUUUUUUGUAAAGCAAAAGAUAAUAUAACCGGCAUCGAGGAUGCUUGCCAGCUGUCUUCUUAUUAUUGGGACUGUUGGAGUAGUCGAUUCAGCUAGUGGUCAUGGUUUUGAUGCACACUUGCGUGGACCAAGUUUUAUUAUAGAGCCACCAUCAAGAAUUGAAUUUUCAAAUUCAAGUGGUGCCUGGCUUGACUGUGCGGCAUCCGGUACACCACCUCCAAAUAUUGACUGGACAACGCCUGACGGACAUCCGAUCGGUGAUGUACCCGGCGUCAGAAGAGUUCUUAGAAAUGGUACUCUCGUUUUAUUACCAUUUCAAGCUGCGACAUUUCGACAGGAUGUUCACAGUGCUGUCUAUAAAUGUGCUGCUAGUAAUUCAGUCGGUAGAAUUCUCAGUCGUGACGUACAAGUCAGAGCAGUUGUGACACAGGGAUAUACAGUAAGAGUUGAAAUUGUUGAAGGUGUAUCAAGAGGAUGUACAGCAAUAUUACGUUGUAUUGUUGAGAGUCAUGUUAAGGAUCUUGUACGAGUUGUGUCUUGGCUUCAGGAGCCAUCAUUUCAUAUUUAUCCAUCACUUCAAGGAGAUGGUAAAUUUCAUCUUUUACCAACUGGUGAACUUUUGGUUCAUGGAUUGGAAUUUAGUGAUCAAUUUCUCAGCUACAGAUGUAGAACAAUGCACAGACUUACGAGACAGGUAGUUGUUAGUUCAUCAGCAAAUAUAAGAAUAGCAGAUCAUCGAGGAGUUGUACCACCAUCAAUUUUAGAUCAUUCUGGUACCAUAUACGUUGGUCAAGAUGAGUCUGCAUCUCUCGUUUGUCUUUCAAAAGCAUGUCCAACUCCUGAAUACAGAUGGUAUGCUCAGACUGGUGCUGAACAAAUGCCAGUAUUAUCAGGACCUCGUACGAGAUUGCUCGGUCCAGUGUUGGCGAUUGAAGCUGUCACACUGACAGACAGUGGUAUCUACCAAUGUCUAGCAUCCAAUCUCGGUGGUGAAACUAGUGCUGAACUCAGACUUGUAGUUACUGCACCUCUAAAUGUUGAAGUAUCACCAUCAUUAUUAAGUGUACAUCUUGGUGGUAAUGCAGAAUUUCAAUGUGUUGUUGGAUCAACUUCACAAACAGGACAACAUGUUAUAACUUGGUAUAAAGAUGGUAGACAGCUUCCUGGUGCUGGACGACAAUCUGAAACAUUGACACUCAAUGGAAUUGGUCGAGAGGACAGGGGAAUGUAUCAAUGUAUUGUCAGACGUGGUGAUGAUACAGCUCAAGCAUCUGCUGAACUUCAACUUGGAGAUGCUCCUCCAGUUCUUCUCUACUCCUUCAUCGAACAGACACUUCAACCAGGUCCAGCAGUUUCACUUAAAUGCUCAGCAGCUGGUAAUCCAACUCCCCAAGUUACAUGGGCCUUGGAUGGAUUCUCUCUGCCAACAAUCACAAGAUUUGUUAUUGGUCAGUAUGUCACUGUUCAUGGUGAUGUAAUAUCACAUGUUAAUAUCAGUCAAGUGAUGGUAGAGGAUGGUGGUGAAUAUUCUUGUACAGCUGAAAAUAGAGCUGGAAAAGUAACACACAAUGCACGUCUCAAUGUUUAUGGUUUACCAUACAUCAGAAUAAUUCCAAAAGUAACAGCAGUAGCUGGUGAAACAUUACGUUUAAAAUGUCCAGUUGCUGGUUAUCCAAUUGAUGAAAUAAAAUGGGAACGUGGUGGUCGUGAAUUGCCGGACAAUUUACGUCAAAAAGUCAUGGAUGAUGGAACGUUGAUUGUGUUGAGUGUACAAAAAGAAUCAGACACUGGAACAUAUACAUGCUGGGCACGAAAUAAACAAGGUCACAGUGCAAGAAGAUCUGGAGAUGUAACUGUAAUUGUUCCCCCAAAAAUUAGCCCGUUCUUCGCAAAUCGUGAUCUACAUCUUGGUGAACGUACAAGUUUAACAUGUUCAGUGACACGUGGUGAUCAGCCAAUAAGAAUAACAUGGCUCAAGGAUGGAAGAGCACUUGGACCAUCUGAGCGUGUUUCAAUCACCAAUGUUGAUCAGUACAAUAGUAUGCUGAUGAUUGAAAGUUUAUCUCCAGAUCACAAUGGAAACAUUUCUUGCCUUGUAGCAAACAAUGCUGGCUCAACUAGUUAUUCAGCAACACUUGUGGUUCAUGUACCCCCUAUUAUUGAGCCAUUUAACUUCCAAGAGGGACUUUCCGAGGGGAUGAGGACGCGGACGGUGUGCGGGGUCGCGGCGGGUGAUCCACCCUUAACAAUAUCCUGGCUUAAAGAUGGUCAUUCUCCUUUUCUUUUAUCCCAAAAAUCAACGUCUGAUACAAACAUCUCCCAGCUGGAUCCUUACUCAAGUCUACUAAGUAUAUCAAAUCUCGCGGCUGAGCACUCUGGGUUAUGGGAAUGCAUCGCCGCGAACCCCGCCGCCGAGGUCAGGUACACGGCCAAGCUUCAGGUAAAAGUACCACCUCAUUGGCUAGUUGAACCAAUGGACACAAGUGUCGAAAGAAAUCGACAUGUAUCAUUUCAUUGUCAAGCACAGGGUGUUCCACCACCAGUCAUUGUUUGGAAAAAGGGAACAGGCAGUAAAUCGGGUGAAUACGAAGAAAUGCGAGAAAGUUCGUAUACAAAAUUACUGAACAAUGGUACUUUAGUACUUCAACAUGUCAAGGAAGACAGGGAAGGUUACUAUCUCUGUCAAGCCAGUAAUGGUAUUGGUACUGGCAUUGGUAAGGUCGUUCAACUUCGUGUUAAUUCUUCACCUUACUUUGCUGCACCAUCAAGACUUGUCACAGUAAAAAAAGAUGAUACUGCAACACUUCACUGUGAGGUUCAUGGUGACCAGCCAAUAACUGUAACUUGGUUAAAAGGUGGAAAAAUUGAGUUGAAUCCUUCAACAAAUUACAGAGUUACUGUACAAACAGAAAUUAUACCAGACGGUGUAGAAGCACAGUUGCAGAUAUCCUCAGCGGAAGCAUCUGACAGUGCUGGCUACUUUUGUCAAGCAAGUAAUCUCUAUGGUAGAGAUCAACAGUUGGUUCAACUUUUAGUUCAAGAACCACCACAACCACCCCAUACCCUAGAGACAGCAAUGAUUGCAGCCCGUAGUAUUAAUGUUAAAUGGCAACACAGAGGACAAGAUACAAGUGAAGUAUCAAAAUAUAUAUUACAAUGGAAAGAGGGUGAAAGUGGUAUGUGGCAACAACAAGAAUUAACUGGACCACCAUUACCAUAUGCUGCACUUAUUGAUGAUUUAAAACCAGCAACAAAAUAUACAAUAAGAAUUAUUGCUGAAGGUGCUGCUGGACGAUCAUCACCAUCAGCUGAAUUAAUUGUUAAAACAGAACCACAAAGACCUGCUGGGCCACCAAUUAAUAUUUCAGCAAAGCCAAUAUCACCAAAUGAAAUUAUUAUAACUUGGUCACCACCACUACCUGAACUUCGUCAUGGUGAUGUUCAAGGCUUCAACGUUGGAUUUAGAGAAUCUAGUGGUGGAAAUCCAUCGUACAAUUUUACUUCAGUCCCGGGAGAUGGUGAAGAAGGAGGCGGUGAUCUACAUCUCAUGGGGCUCAGACCUUAUACAAGAUAUACUAUUGUUGUUCAAGCUUACAAUCAAGUUGGAUCUGGACCAUUGUCUGAGCCUCUUCCUACACAAACACUUGAAGAUGUACCUAGUAGACCACCGGAAGAUGUUCGUUGUGCACCACUAACAUCGCAAUCACUACAAAUAUCUUGGAAAACGCCUCCGGCUGCUUACACCAAUGGCAAUAUACAGGGAUACAAAUUAAAUUACGAACCUGUCUUACCAGAUUCUUGGAGUGGUAGUGAUGAAAUGGAAACUCGUAAAACUGGAAGUAUGACAAUGACACUUGCUGGACUGAGAAAAUAUACAAAUUAUAGUAUUCAAAUACUUGCAUAUACACGUGUUGGUGAUGGUGUACCAACAAGAACAAUGUACUGUCGUACAAAAGAAGACGUGCCUGGAAGUCCAGCGGAUAUUAAAGUUGUCGUGAGUUCGCCUCAAGCACUUUUUAUAUCAUGGCUACCACCACUAGAGCCCAAUGGCGAUAUUACAAAAUACAAUCUUUACUCAAGAAUAAUGGAUGGUCGAGAAGAAUUAAAUCAUGGAAAACGAGUUUUACCAGCGACAAAUUUAUUUUUUGAAGUAACUGGUCUUCAACAACACGUUGAAUAUCAGUUUUGGGUAACAGCAAGUACUCGUAGUGGUGAAGGACAAAGUUCAACAGUUGCUGCUGCAAUGCCAAAAAAUCAUGUUGCAGCUAAAAUAACAUCAUUUGGUGGUCAUACUGUAAUGCCAUGGCGUGGAACAAUAACAAUGGCAUGUCAUGCUGUUGGUGAACCAACUCGAGAAUGGUUCAAAGGUCUUUCUGAUCAAAUUCACAGUGAUUCCGCUAGAAAUAUACAAAUUUUACCAACUGGAGAACUUAUUUUAUCAAAUCUACAGCUACAAGAUGGUGGAAAUUAUACAUGUCAAGUUGAAAAUGCCUUAGGAAGUGAUAGAUUACAUUACACUUUAACUGUACAAGUUCCACCAAAUGCUCCUGUACUUUAUGUUACGAGCUCAACAUCUAGCAGUGUUUUGCUUCACUGGAAAUCAGGAUAUAAUGGAGGUACACCACUUACUGGAUACAGUUUGCAUUAUAAAACUACUCAUGGAAACUUGGAUGAACUUCAACUGCCCCGACGAGCAACAAAUCACGAAUUAAAAAAUCUACUAUGUGGCAACAUGUAUCAGCUGUACCUGACCUCGCACAAUAAAAUUGGUAGUAGCCCACCAUCCCCAGUACUUUCAGUUAGAACCCAGGGUCAACCACCAGGAAUUCCUGCAGCUUCUACAUUCCUAUCACCAAACUCAACAACUCUAGCUCUUCGCUUACACAUGUGGCCAGACAAUGGAUGUCCAAUUGUAUAUUUUGUCAUUGAAUAUCGUCCGAUAAAUGAAUAUCACUGGACUCUUGUUUCUAAUAAUGUUAAAAUGCAACGAAGAUUCUUAGUCACAAAUUUAUCACCAAGUACUGUUUACCAAUUGAAAAUUGAAGCAUACAAUAUUGCUGGAAAUAAUCAAGCUGAAUUUAGUUUUGUCACUCUAACAAAAGAUGGUGAAGCACCACCUCCAGAAUUAUCUGAACGUGGCAUCAUAUCAGUAUUACCAUUCUAUGCUGAUAUGAAAAUAAUGUUACCAAUUAUUGUCGCAGCAUUUGCAUUGUUUGCGGUUUUUUCUGUUGUUAUAAUGCGAUGGAAAAAUCAACAUUUGGGGGACCGGAACGCGCGACCAAUGAAAGAAACACAGGAGAAUCAACAGAACGCGGAGACACAGAGGGAACGGUAUUACGCGACUAUUCACAAAGUCGCAUUCUCACAAGCUGCCGGAGAUACGGACAAGAUUCCAGGUGGGUUACAGGUUUCCUAUUCUGAUUCUAGAGAACAGCGAAGAUAUCAGCCCGUACGCUACGUUCCAGCUUUCGGAGGGGGGAGGGGGAGGCCUGGCAGGGCUGGGAGGAUUGGGCAGUCUAGGAAUGGCAGAGGCCUCGGCUGCGGGUCUUCAUCCGAACAAUACUCUGCUUCACAGUUUCAUGUAUCACGAGCAUGCGAUGACAGAGGGAUGUGCGAGUCCCCCACCGAUGGCAUCGAGUAUGAAGAGUGUAUCAUCGAGGAGGCGUCAGCAGAGGAAGCAACAUACUCCCGGAGACGACAGCGACGAGAGUGAGUCUGAUCCAGAUCAGCAUACUCGUUCGAGAACAGAAUCAGCGAAUCAAUUGGAUGCGGGGAAACUCAAGCACAUUCGAGCAGUCUCAGACUUUAUUUAUCACGGAACGUCGAGCACAUCUUCCGACAUUUCACCAAUGUGCGAACAAAAAUCACUACCAAGACGAGGACGUUCCAG
RNAcentral lists this unclassified non-coding RNA (6248 nucleotides) under Aphidius gifuensis. Its description in RNAcentral is "down syndrome cell adhesion molecule-like protein Dscam2, transcript variant X2". The record is from RNAcentral. Lineage: Eukaryota; Metazoa; Arthropoda; Insecta; Hymenoptera; Braconidae.